AGAGUCAAUAUACUAUUCUUAUGAUUCUAAACUCUCAUCAAUCUCUACAUGGUAUUAGAGCCACAAUGAUCUAACGAUCGGCUCCGUUCCUGAAUCUAAGCCAAGAGCUUUUUCUUUUUAUUUUUGUGUUUAAGCCAAGUGCUUCCAACAUUCAAGUUCAUCAUGAACCUCUGAAUCUAAGCAAAAAUGCUUCUAAUCAUUCAAGUCUAACCAUAGACCUCUGAAUCAAGCCUAAGUGCUUCUAAAAUCAAGCCAAAGUGCUUCUUUUAAUUUUUUUUUUUUCUGCAAUUUAAAAAAAAAAAAAAAUUUCCGUUUUAUAUCUUCAAAAUAUCUUUGUUUUUUAUUUUAUUAAAAAAAAAAAAUAACAACAACAAAAAAAAAAAAAUCAUCGUGGUCUUCUUCUUCAAGACAAGGUUCAUCACCUUUUGUGGCGUCGUCCACCACCACACCACCUUGAUCUGACCUACCUUGCUUCACUCAACGUUCAUUUCUCGAGACAAGGUUCCUCGAUCUCCGCUGCACCUUCAACAUGUCGGCGUGGGCAAUUCACGUUGACAUUUUUCUCAACGCCUAGUCAUCUCGUCUUCGCAACUUCUCGGUUUCUUCACUAUUUCUAUUUUGCAAGUCAAUCUCAAGCUGUUCAUUCCGACGUUCUCCAUCACCGCCUUGAGAUUGAGGGAGCGUAUAGAAGGAUCUAAAAUAAUCUAGAAUAUCUUUAAAUAUAUUUCUAAUAAUUAUCUCAUUUAUGUAUUUGUGUAUAUUAGGAAACUAGAUUAAUUAGGUUUACCUUUCUCUUCUUUAUAUAAACAUAUGUUUCAUAACCUUUAUCAUUAUGAGAGUUAAUAUACAAUUCUUCCAAUCUCUAUCUCUCAUCACAUUAUCAUAAUAAAG
This 891-nucleotide long non-coding RNA is filed under the name Arabidopsis lyrata. RNAcentral's name for it is "long non-coding RNA (ALYR_LNC002880)". Lineage: Eukaryota; Viridiplantae; Streptophyta; Magnoliopsida; Brassicales; Brassicaceae. The record is from RNAcentral.